Molecule: non-coding RNA, 191 nt
Filed under: Alkalilimnicola sp. S0819
Lineage: Bacteria; Pseudomonadati; Pseudomonadota; Gammaproteobacteria; Chromatiales; Ectothiorhodospiraceae
Description: 6S / SsrS RNA
Rfam family: 6S / SsrS RNA
About the family: E. coli 6S RNA was the first non coding RNA to be sequenced, but its function was unknown until recently.
Source: Rfam by way of RNAcentral
CAUUCCCUGCGGUGUUCGACAGCGGGCCUACGUAUUCUUGAGCCUCAAAGAGUAGCCCCGGGGAUCCUGGUCGUAGUGGCAAGCGGUGUGCAGGUCCGCCAUGCAGCGGAAAGCCUAAGCCGCCACUCGCCAUCCCCACCUGAACCAUAGGGUUCAAGGGCGAAGCCCGCAUCGGCACAGGCGGGGAAUGU